Molecule: long non-coding RNA, 3191 nt
Filed under: Marmota monax (woodchuck)
Lineage: Eukaryota; Metazoa; Chordata; Mammalia; Rodentia; Sciuridae
Source: RNAcentral
UUUUUUUUAAAGGGAAACUUCAGGGGGAGAGAGAGAGAGAGAGAGAGAGAGAGAGAGAGAGAGAGAGAGAGAGAGAGAGAGAGAGAAUGCUCUCCAGAAGGGCGGUGCAGACAUAGGCCUGGCUGUCCCUCACUAACCCCAUCCCCCAGGCCACUAACCCAUGCGUUCUCCCUGACCCAGAGACGGAAUAUAAAUGAAAUGCUUUGCUGUACAGGACACUAACUGGCAGCCGCCUGCUGGAGCUGAGGCCAUUUUCUAAGCAGCUCACUAAUCAGAAGUGACUGGGGCUCUGGAGAGAACACAGUCCAGCCCUGGUUCCACCCUCCAUGCUAAUGAAGAAGGCAGUGAGGUGGAUAAUUAAGGGCAGCGAUGUGAAUAAUUCCAAACUGAUCAUUCGGAGGUAAUGAAAUGCACUAGGAGUUUUGGGGGAGGCAGACUUCCCUUACCAGACAUGGCUGUUUUCUGAUAAAAUGAGCUGGCCUUUUCCAAGCACCGAGUCUGGGAGGAGCUGGCCUGGGAAGGCAGAGGUUGAAGGGAGGAGCUGACCUGGGAUUACGAAUUCAUGCAGCCAUGAAAAACAGUGUUUAGGAAGCUUGCGUAACCACACAGGGAGACACUCGUGAUAUGAUCUUAAGGGGAAAAAAAAUGAAGAAGCCUGCAAAGUGAUAUCGUGGCUCACUACAGCAAUUUUGAAAACAAAACCAAUAACAUGACAAGAUUGUAUACAUGGGGAAGAAAGACUAGAAGGAAAUCUACUACCAAGAAGGUUAGCAGUAGCUAUCUGGGUAGUGGGACUGUGGAGGAUUUAUUUUUUCCUCUACCAUAAUUUUCCAAAUUCUCUUAUAGUAACUUGGAUUGCUUUCAUAAUGAAAAAGGUGAACACAUGGAAAAUAACUUGGUGUGGCAAAAUUCCUCCCCAGCAUGGACAUAAAGCUAACUCAUGUGGAUGGACAUGGAGUCUAGCUAGGCUACAUUUUACUGCAUAAUCUGCUCAAAGCCCCACAGCCCUCUUCUGGAUAGAAAUGUUUCCUCCAUGAAGUUCAUACUGAAGGUGAAUCUCCCUGACUGUGUUUUUCUGAAAGCUUCAGAGAUGUUUUCAGAGACAGCAGGUUUGGGGCUACUAUGUUCCUCUGAGGGUAUAAUCAAUUUCUACCUGUAUCAGUCUCUUUUCCAUUACUGGUCACAAAAUACUGUAAUAAAACAAAACAAAAAAUGAAUAAAUAAAUAAAGCUGAGUGACUUUCUACAGAAAAGAGGGAUAGUUAGAGGUGGUUAUAGAGAUCCAAGGGUCUGCAGUCAGCUCAGCUCUGGUAAGGACAUGAUGGUGGAUGGCAUCACAAUGGCAAGAGAGAUGGAGAGAUCACAGUGCCCCAGAGGAAACCAAAGAGUGACUGGAGACUAGCAGGGGGAUUGCAGGAGAACCAUGUUAAUCCCUUUGGAGGCUAAUGCUCCCAGUGACCUCAGGCCUUCCUGCUAGGAACUUCCUCUUUUUAAUGUCCCGCUACCUCAACUACCACAUUGAGGACCAAGCUUCCAACACAUGAGCCUUGGGAGGCAGCCCCAUCUGAGCCACUGUACCACCAUAUUUCGUAGUUUCUUGGAACCUCUCCUUAAUCUUGUGUCCCUAGUCUUCCAGUUUUAGAACUAGUUAUGAACAAUACCUAUUAAAUGAGCUCCUUAUUUCACUAAAUCAUGGGACUAGUCAAGCUCUGGGUUUUAUAGUAACUAGCUGAGAGAAGAGUAAGUUUAUUUCUUACUCUUUCUUAUGAGACAAAUGUAGGAGACUUGGGAAAAAAAGUCUUUUGGGAAGACUUUUAAUUUAAUGAAGUUAAUCUGCUACUCCAUAAUAAAAUCCAUAUUUGGGGCUGGGCUGGGGCUCAGCGGUAGCGGACUUGCCUGGCAUGUGUGAGGAACUGGGUUUGAUUCUCAGCACCGCAUAUAAAUAAAUAAAAUAAAGGUCUAUAAAAAAUAAAUAAAAUAAAAUCCAUAUUUUCUUUUUAUAAUUUUGGGAAUUUCUAAACAGAAUCUGCUAUGAUCUGAAGAUUUGAACCUCCCAAAAUUCACAUGCUGAAAUGAUAAACCUCAAGAUGAUGGUAUUAGAUUGUGGGACUUUGGAAGGUGAUUUUAGGUCAUGAGAUUGGACUUCACUGGAGCCUGAAGAGACCAGAGUUCUUCCCUUUCACUAUGUAAGGACACAUUGACAAGGUGCCAAAUGGGCCCUUACUACAUGUUGAAUCUGCUGGCACCUGGAUCUGGGACUUCCCAGACUCUAGAUUGUGAAAAUAAAUUUCUGUUGUUUAUAAAUCACCCCAGUUUAUGGUAUCUUGUGCAGUAGCCUGAACAGAUUAAGGAACUCUUUUUUUGUCUUUUGGUGGGAAGGAUACUGGGGAUUGAACUCAGGGGCACUUUUACCACUAAGCCAUAUCCUCAGCACUUGUUUUUUUUUUUAAUUUUAUUCGGAGAUGGAAUCUCACUGAGUUCCUUAGGGCCUCACAGUUGCUGAGCCUGGCUUCAAAUAUAUUUGCUCUUAUGUAUAAUCAUAUCAUGGUUCUAUAUACCAUAACCUAAAGGAUGAGGGCAAGGAUACUCAUCUUAAAGGUUAAGAAAAUUGGAUGAGACCGUGAAGUGAUGAGUAUCGUGUUUGGCAGGUGAUAAGUUCUGACUUAGAUCUGUCAGGCAGGUGUAUGCCAGUUACAGAGCUCACUUGGAAGAGCCAAAAGAUACUUCCCCUACUUAUGACCCCUUCUGAACACUGCCCUAGGUAUAGGCAGCCAUGUUUAUACUCCAAUGCCUUGCCCCUUUGACAAAUGAUUGAGUUGGAGAAGGCAUUGGGCCUGAGAAUAGUCAACCUAUAGGCUGGUAAACAGCUUAUGAUAUCAUACCUGCCUCUGCCUAAUGAAAUAAUAGUAUCCAGUUUACUCAGUCAGGUCCUCUCACUGUGCACUGGAACUCAUGACAUGCUUAGAGAUUCUAUUAGCAAGAAUAGCUCCAUUUCCUCUCUGCCUCUCUCCCCUAGAAACAGACCCAAUCUGCUAGCCAGAGUCCCCUAAGACCAUCAGAGACUUUCCCUUAGAUUUUUAGAGUUGGGCAGAAGGCUCUGUGGAACUGGGCUUCGCUGCACAUGCCUGCAGGGCCAGGCAGGCACACAGGUGAGACGUCCAGCGGGGCUGGAGAGGACCUGUGACCAAAGAG